GCGAAAAAUGAACCGGGGAUGCGACGUGUAAGAUUACCUACACCUUAGAUGCAAUAGCUUCUUCGGACACUGGACACAUGCAUUUGUUUUCCGUAAAGUGUUAGACUAUAUGUUAUUAUACAGAUUCAAAUAUACUAUCCGUUUCAGGUAAAACUCCCAAAUUCGGAUGUUCGAAAUCCAAUGAUGGGUAACCAGUACGACCGUAAUUCUGUAAAACAGUUUGUCGAAUAUC
RNAcentral lists this long non-coding RNA (232 nucleotides) under Drosophila guanche. The record is from RNAcentral. Lineage: Eukaryota; Metazoa; Arthropoda; Insecta; Diptera; Drosophilidae.